RNAcentral lists this long non-coding RNA (916 nucleotides) under Sus scrofa (pig). RNAcentral describes it as "lncRNA (ENSSSCG00060077064.1)". Lineage: Eukaryota; Metazoa; Chordata; Mammalia; Artiodactyla; Suidae. The record is from RNAcentral.
AUGCAGAAGGUCUCUCUAAAGUGCCAAAGUUAUAAAAUUCCACUGGAAGUAAAUUCGCAGACUUUCCAAGAAUCAGUCACCCCCUGCAGCACAGGCAGAGACGGAGGGGUUGCGGGGGGGCAACUCUUUCCCUGGGAAGGAGUCCUCAUGUCCUGUGCUGCCCCUUGCAUCCCAACAAGCUGCUUCCUGGCUCUGCGUAGGUCAAGGUCCAGGGACUUCUCUUCAUUGUCAUCCUGGGGAUUCCCUGAAUGAAUUUGUUCCUUCCUUACAAUUACAUGUAAAUAAUGAUCAGCUGGGCAAAGAAUACUAGGCUGAAAAUUGUUUUCCUUCCAUGGUUAACAUUGCCCCCCUGGCUUCCAGCUUCCAGUGCUGCCCUCAAGAAGGCCAUGCAUUCUUAUCCUUAAUCCUUGGAUGGAAUCUAAUUUUUCUCUGGAAGCUUUAAGACUUGCUUUCUCCUUGGCGAUUUAAAAAUGAUGUAUUUGGAAGUUCCCUUCAUGGCUUAGCAGUUAACGAACCCAGCUAGGAUCCAUGAGGAUGUGGGUUCGAUCCCUGGCCUUGCUUGGUGGGUUAAGGAUCUUACAUUGCUGUGGCUAUGGUUGCAGCUGGCAGCUGUAGCUCCAAUUUGACCCCUAGCCUGGGAACUUCCAUAUGCCUUAAAAAGCAAAAAAAAAAAAAAAACCCAAAACAAAAACGUGUUUCACUGUAGUAUAUGGAAUGACUGGCCAACGGAGACCUGCUUUAUAGCACAAGGAACUCUAUCCAAUAUUCUGCGAUAAUCUACAUGGGCAAAGAAUCUGAAAGAGAAUGGAUGUGUGUACAUGUAUAACUGAAUCACCUUGUUGCACAGCAGAAAUUAUCACUACAUUGUAAAUCAACCAUACUUCAAUAAAACUUUAAAGAAUGAAAAAAAUUGACA